UGCAAGGACGUGCAGAGGGCCGGGGUAGUACGGAGGGGGUGGGCGUUAAGCGGAAUUGCGGGGCGUAAGGCGGGGGCAGGCGGUUUGAUAAGACAGAGGUGAAAGCCCCGGGCGCCACCUGGGAACGGGCUUUGUGACUGCAAAGCUGGAGUGCGGCAGAGGGGGAUGGAAUUCCGCGUGUAGCAGUGAAAUGCGUAGAUAUGCGGAGGAACACCGAUGGCGAAGGCAAUCCCCUGGGCCUGCACUGACGCUCAUGCACGAAAGCGUGGGGAGCAAACAGGAUUAGAUACCCUUGUAGUC
This 300-nucleotide ribosomal RNA is filed under the name uncultured Desulfurococcus sp. RNAcentral's name for it is "bacterial SSU rRNA". The stretch from base 52 to 300 matches the Rfam family "Bacterial small subunit ribosomal RNA", at positions 547 to 795 of the family's 1533-position model. The record is from RNAcentral. Lineage: Archaea; Thermoproteati; Thermoproteota; Thermoprotei; Desulfurococcales; Desulfurococcaceae.